This is a long non-coding RNA of Coregonus clupeaformis (lake whitefish), 3068 nucleotides long. RefSeq lists it as uncharacterized. Lineage: Eukaryota; Metazoa; Chordata; Actinopteri; Salmoniformes; Salmonidae. The transcript has 3 exons. The record is from RefSeq and is a predicted model, not a curated record.
UUGAGUUUGUGUGUAUUUGUGAUUGUGUGUGUGUGUGGGUUCUGCAAUGUGUGUGUGUGUGUGUGUACAUGAGUGUUUGCGUCAUCUGUUGUUUAAUUCGCCCAGUGUAUCCUAUCUCUCUCUCUCUCCCUCUCUCUUUUUAUUUCCCUUUCCCUCUCCCUCUAUUUUUCUCUCUGCUGCUUAACACAAUGCACCGUUUAGUUUCUCUCUUUCUCUUUCCCCUUCUUCAACUCUCUCCAUUAGUAAUCACAGGAUGGUGUUUCUCUCUAUGUAACACCAAGGGACAAAAAAGCUAAGAUAAUGAACAGUAAACAAAAACAAGCUAGAGGAAAAGUUGCACCUGUCUGGUUCUUGUGUACAGCCUGUUUCUAGAACGGGAGCAGGUCUGAACAUGCCCUGUGAGGGGGCCUCUGGGAACUCCACUUGUCAAGGUCUGUAGGUGCUCUAUCCCGAUCACUUACUUUCUAUUCAACUGCAUGUCAAGUUCAACAGCAUUAUGGUUGGCAUACAAAAACAUAUUCUACAAACUAUAAACAAUGUUUAUCAUCAUACGUAUACAGGGGUAAGGAGUAACUGAUUAGAUGUAAUCAGUUACUUGUAAUCUGAUUACAAAACUGUAACUGUAAUCAGUUACAUUGCCAGCAAAAAUACUGUAGUCAGAUAGUCUUUUGCACAACGUAGCAACGCCCACUUCCGCUCAACUUCCUACCCGAUACAUAGCUUCCUCUCCCGAUUGCGACCUGUCAGACUGAUUGUAGCCAUACUAGCCUCGAAGUCGCUCGUUUUAUCAUUAAUAUACAGAGGUAAUCAGUAUAUUAAUAUAAUCAUAUUUCUAUCAUGUUUCUAUUUAUUGUGUUCUGUCUUUUUUUGUCUCUUAGCUAGCUAGCUAUUAACGCGCUAACUAGUAAGAUGGCUAGCAAUUAGUCAACGCCCCCCUCCCUUACCAACCAUGGCACUGUUUUACACAAGGUGCUUGCAAGAGCUGCCAAAGAUAACAGUGACAGAUGUACGUCGUCUGGCCAAGACAAGUAGCAAAGCACCGACCUCCAAGUUGGAAAAAGGAUUCAAACUUUAUGUCUCCAGUUACCUUUUCAACUAUGAAGGUAAGUGUAGCCAAGUUGCCUAUCAGACCAGACAAGGAUGUUUACUCAAAGCUGUAACAUAGUUUAUGACAUGCCUUUAACAGUAGCUAGCUAACAUUAUGAUUGCUCAUUCUUUUUAUUCAAAACAGUUUCGAACAGGGACAAAGUGACAGGAGAGGUCAGCAUAAGGGCUUGCUGCUACAGGUCCAUGAGGAAAAAUUUGAAACCACACAGUUUGAGUGUAGGGUGAAAAGUCAGCUGUUUGUGAGACACUACAUGCCGGUUACACAGUCAGAGAUGAAGCCUAGUCUUAGACUAAGAAGUUCCUGUCAAUGGAGAUCUGCAUUAAGAGGCAUUGCUUAGUCUAGGACUAGGCUUAACCCAUGUCUAUGAAACUGUUCUUAGUGUAGUAACUGUUCAGUCUUCCUUGCUGUUUCUGUAAGCUGUGUUAUGUUGGACGCAUUAGAUUAAAUUUAAACAAGGGCAUAUACCCUUAAUAGAAAAGUUUAAACCCGUAUUGCUGUAAUGAAUUUAGUGGCUGUUGCAUGUUGCGCCAGUCACUUCUGUUUGCUGGUCGUGACACAUGUUGAGUGAUUUUAUAGUCUAAUCAUUUUCUUUUUAUAUCCCCACGUAGGUUGUACUGAAGCCCUCUGAGCCAGUAACAAUGGCACAACAUCACUGUUCAUGUGCUGCUGGCACUGCAUUAUGCAACCACACAGUUGCAUUACUAUUCCAGUCUGCACACUAUUCCCAGAUGGGAACACCAGUUGUCCCACCUGUGCACAGCUGCACAGAGGCCGAGCAGCAGUGGCAUAAGCCAAGGACUAUGAGUCUGAAACCUGGGCCCAUAGGCAAAAUGACCAUCACCAAGCCCACCAAAAAGAGCAUGGCAGAAGGAGGGAUGAGAAGUACACUCUACAGCGCCCUUCUUGAGCCGCUCCCUGACCUCUCAGUUCUCCAGAUAGAAGAGGCAUAAAAUAACUUUCACCCUCUAUCCAAGCCAUUGAUCUGCAGCAUGGGGAUGUCUGCUGAAAAGCUUUUAGUCGACUCCCACUUCGGAAAGGUACAGGUGGGGAGCCUCCUGUCUUACCAGCAGCCUUCAAUCACAACGUGACACAUAGUUCACCAUAAGGAGACACCACCAUUCCCUUCACUGCCCCUGGAUGGCUACAGACUGGAGAGCAACUUUCAAGGCUGCACAUUUGUGCUCAGUGAAGAAGACCAGCUUCACAUAGAGUAUCUUCAGGUGAGCUUCGCAACAGCCCAUAAAAUAGAGGAAGCUACUAGAGAACAGAGUGCUGUCUCCGACUGGCAGGUGCUCCGGAAACCAAGACUGACCUCGUCACGGUUCCGAGAGGCUUGCCAUGUGAGAGGGCUGACAUCCGCAGGCAAUCUAGCUGAAAGGAUCCUCAAAGGCACAGCACCAACAGCUGAUAUGAAGAGGGGACUGGAGUUGGAGAUGGAAGCAGCCAGUGACUACUGCAAGAUGCAGAAUGUCAACUUCUCACCCUGUGGCCUCAUCAUACAUCCUAACAUCCCUUGGCUUGCCUCUUCUCCUGAUGGCCUGGUCUACGACCCUCUCGAGCAUCCACCUUUUGGCCUAGUUGAGAUUAAGAACCCGAACGUAAAGGGUUUUGUGGCUUGCAAGUACGUUCACAUGCAUAACGGUGUACCUUCCCUGAAGAGGCAGCAUACCUACUACUGGCAAGUUCAAGGUCAGCUCUACAUCACUGGGUUGGAGUGGUGUGACUUUGUUGUCUGUGCGCAUGAGGACAUUCUGUUCGAGAGAAUACAUAGAGACCCAGUGGUGUUCUCUCUAAUUAGAGAGAAGGGUGACUGGUACUACUUAUAUGUGUACAUGCAAAAGUUCUUAGGCAGGAAACACUAAAUAACUACGGACAGGCUCCUUUAUCUUUCAAUUAAUGAAAGAGAAACAAACCAACAAAUCUAUCUGUGCAAUUAAUUAAUUAAUAAACCUUUUUUUUC